GCCUACGGGAGGCAGCAGUGAGGAAUAUUGGUCAAUGGCCGAGAGGCUGAACCAGCCAAGUCGCGUGAGGGAUGACGGCCCUACGGGUUGUAAACCUCUUUUGUCGGGGAGCAAAGAGAGUCACGUGUGGCUCAUUGAGAGUACCCGAAGAAAAAGCAUCGGCUAACUCCGUGCCAGCAGCCGCGGUAAUACGGAGGAUGCGAGCGUUAUCCGGAUUUAUUGGGUUUAAAGGGUGCGUAGGCGGUCCGUUAAGUCAGCGGUAAAAUUGCGGGGCUCAACCCCGGCGAGCCGUUGAA
RNAcentral lists this ribosomal RNA (296 nucleotides) under uncultured bacterium. RNAcentral describes it as "partial 16S ribosomal RNA". It matches the Rfam family "Bacterial small subunit ribosomal RNA", at positions 337 to 631 of the family's 1533-position model. The record is from RNAcentral.